This 235-nucleotide ribosomal RNA is filed under the name uncultured bacterium. RNAcentral's name for it is "partial 16S ribosomal RNA". It matches the Rfam family "Bacterial small subunit ribosomal RNA", at positions 99 to 334 of the family's 1533-position model. The record is from RNAcentral.
CGGACGGGUGAGUAACGCGUGGGUAACCUGCCUCAUACAGGGGGAUAACGGUUAGAAAUGACUGCUAAUACCGCAUAAGCGCACAGUACCGCAUGGUACGGUGUGAAAAACUCCGGUGGUAUGAGAUGGACCCGCGUCUGAUUAGCUAGUUGGUGAGGUAACGGCCCACCAAGGCGACGAUCAGUAGCCGACCUGAGAGGGUGACCGGCCACAUUGGGACUGAGACACGGCCCAG